ACCAUUUCAGCUACAGUACAUGCCUUAGUUAGCAUGAUGUGAAUACCAGGAUAUGCUACAGCUGGUGAACGGACUUCCUUUUGGGAAUGGUAAAGUGAGUAACCUCUAAUGAUGUGUUUCAAAUGUUAAUGGAAGAUUCAGGAAGAUGAUGAAGAGGAAGAGGGAAAAAAUGGCACAGAAUUAAAAAAAAAAGAAUCCUUUUACCUUUAGCACGGAAACUCCUGACUUUGGUUCAUCAGACAGGCAGCCAAACGUUCAGACUGGAUUUGGCAUUCUUAUCCACCCAGAUCAGCAGAGAUUAACUCCAGACCAACAAUCAAUUAAACAAUACCCCAAGAAGCUGCUAAAGAAGCCAACAGCAAACAGUUCGACUAAAGAACCUCUAAGACCAUCCUCAUCAAUACACUAGGCAAGCCACUAGAAUAUAAACUGAACGCAAACU
Notechis scutatus (mainland tiger snake) is the source of this 442-nucleotide non-coding RNA. The record is from RefSeq and is a predicted model, not a curated record. NCBI's taxonomy places the organism in Eukaryota, Metazoa, Chordata, Lepidosauria, Squamata, Elapidae.